RNAcentral lists this ribosomal RNA (368 nucleotides) under uncultured organism. RNAcentral describes it as "bacterial SSU rRNA". It matches the Rfam family "Bacterial small subunit ribosomal RNA", at positions 526 to 896 of the family's 1533-position model. The record is from RNAcentral.
CGUAGGUGGCAAGCGUUGUCCGGAUUUAUUGGGUUUAAAGGGUGCGUAGGCGGCCGCCUAAGUCAGUUGUGAAAUACCCCGGCUCAACCGGGGGGGUGCGAUUGAUACUGGGCGGCUCGAGUAACAGCGAGGUUGGCGGAAUUGACGGUGUAGCGGUGAAAUGCAUAGAUAUCGUCAAGAACACCGAUAGCGAAGGCAGCCAACUAGGGGUUAACUGACGCUGAGGCACGAAAGUGCGGGGAUCAAACAGGAUUAGAUACCCUGGUAGUCCGCACUGUAAACGAUGAUUACUCGAUGUUGGCGAUAGACAGCCAGCGUCCAAGGGAAACCGAUAAGUAAUCCACCUGGGGAGUACGCCGGCAACGGUG